Molecule: ribosomal RNA, 229 nt
Filed under: uncultured bacterium
Lineage: Bacteria
Description: partial 16S ribosomal RNA
Rfam family: Bacterial small subunit ribosomal RNA
Source: RNAcentral
UGCGUAGGCGGGCUAAUAAGUCAGUGGUGAAAUCUCUCGGCUCAACCGGGAAACUGCCAUUGAUACUGUUAGUCUUGAGUUCGGUUGAGGUAGGCGGAAUGUGUAAUGUAGCGGUGAAAUGCUUAGAUAUUACACAGAACACCAAUUGCGUAGGCAGCUUACUAGACCGACACUGACGCUGAGGCACGAAAGCGUGGGGAGCGAACAGGAUUAAAUACCCUGGUAGUCC